CAAUCCCUAGUGAUUUUAUUUUGAAAAUGUAUGGCUAAUUUCCGGAGCCAUUUGCUGUCAAAUCCUUUGGUGAUGGAUGGCGACACACUUUUAAUACAGCAGCGAUACCUGAUACCUUAUUUAAAGGUAAAGUUUUUCAUUUGUUUUUUCUAGUUUAUUUGUUUUUACAACCAAAUGUGGUCGCGCUAUUCCCACAAAGUGGAAAAUCGAAGAACCACGGGAGAGGUUCCACAUUAAAGCAGUUUGGAAGAUGGUGAGGACGACAGCAAGCUGAAGUUUGUCAGCGGAGGUGACAUCCAGACCUUCACUGAUCCAGAGUGUCUCCCCUUUCCUAUGAGCAGAACAAGACUGUUGUGAAAACCACUGCGGGAGAACUAGACAUUCAGCGAGUAUGCACCACUGCUACGCUGCAUAUCAUCACACUUAUAGUGUGUAAGAUCAGAACAGAGAGGAGCAGGGGAGAAGAGUGUCGUCUGCUGUAUCAACAUGGACACGGCUUUGAGUAUGGAUGUGACUCCAGGUUCAGACUUAGGACAGAGAAUCAGACUGUGUUCCUCCACCUGACCAAUUUAACAUCAGUGGACAGUGGGACCUACACCUGUGAGUGUUCGCAUUUUCAUGGGACAGACGCUCUUCAUCUCAUCAUCACUGUGGAAGGAGAUGAGGAGGCCAGCCUUUCUCCUGUGGCAAAGCUCUGUUAUACCACUGUGAUUGGUAGUGUUACUGCGUUUAUCAUUGUAGCUGGAGUUUGCCUUGGACUUAUCCAUAGGAAAAAUCAUUGCAGAGACCAUACAAGAUCAGGACCGUGUGGAUUGUCUGUAACCCCCUGCUCUUUGCACAGAGCUGUCCCAGAUGAGCCCUACACAGACCUCCAGCAGCCAGCAAGUGAUCUCUACCAGACCAUGUCCCGAGUGCAACAUCAAUGUAACGCCAGCACAAAUUCAGUCAGAGACAAUACAGCGACUACACGUUUGGAACAGGAAAUAAAUGGAAGAGACGCUGAACAAAACUGUCACAUCUAUGAAAACAUCUAAAACAACAGUCAAGAUAAAUGCACAACUGUAGAAUCUGGGACAGUGGAAGUUGGCCACAGUUUUUUGUGUUUAAAGAAGCAGUGUGGAUGUUAAUGGAUGUUUCCCUGUAUGUUGAGAUUGCACCACUCUGUUUCUGUUAGAGUGGUAUACUGACACUUUAUCCCUUUCAUUUAUAAGACAAGGAAAUACCCCAGAGCAUAUGGUGCCCCAGAUAUUGUAUAUCUCUGGCUGCUCUGAUCAGCAGUUCCCAUAAUUUGGGACAUUCACCUCAAAAAAUCCAGUGUAUUUCUUCUUAAGCUUUUAUUAAUUAAUGAUUUACUUGGUUAAAUCAUUGCAGGAGUCUCAAAUAUCAAGAAUUACUUGUGCAGUGAACUCAACACUACACAGAAUUAUGAGUUUGGGUGUUACCACCAAUAUACAGUAUACUAAUUUGAACUACUAAUAUUGUUAAAUGCCCCAAACAUACAUAUUGUCUGAACAUGUUUUGUGAAUUAAACUAGGUGAUUUACUUUGAAAAUACUCGAGACUUUAAGCUCUGACUCUCUGUUGAACAUAACAGCUGUAUGGACCAGUGUCGGAUGUUAUCCCCAUGAUGAUACAUGAUAGUGUUUACGGAUUGCAUUCAUACGCCUCUGCACUGUUUCAACCAUCAGACUUCCCAGAGAGGCUAUUGUUGCAUACUAACAUGAAAGUAGAAGCAGUCAGGGUCACUUCUGUUUUAGAACACUUCACAUCAGCUUAUACUAACUACACCUUAACAAAGAGAGUUUGAGGUUUUCAUAUAGACAAUUAAAGAUCAUUUCAGAGAGCUGGCUUAGUAUUCUGUGCUCUGCUAGCAGCCGCUACGCUUUUGUUCAGAUCUCUUGGCCAGUAUGGGUGGAUGGAAACAGUGGUUUGUUCUGCUUCUGCCACAGUGUGUGUGUGUUGACAACAGAGGUACUGUGUAAAACCUACUUUACAUCUUGUCAGAUUUAUUCUAGUAGUUGUUUUUUAAUAGAAAUACGAAGCAGAAUACUGUUAUUUUAAUGUGGUUUGAAUGUAAAAUGUGAUCCACUGAAAGUCUGCUUCCUUUUGAUUGCAGUGACUGUUGUAAAAACCAUUGGGAGAGGGCCAGACAUCACUCCAGUGUGCACCAGUGCAAACUUGGGUGACAUUUUAUUAGUAAAAUGUGGGAUCAGCACAGAGACACAUGGUGGGGAUGGGUGUUUCCUGCAGUACACAGAUCACAAGCAAUUUGACCACGAAUGCGACACAAGGUUCACAUUGCUAAGAAAGAAUUGCACUAUAUUUAUCUACCUAAUGAGUUUAACCCCAAUGGACAGUGGGAACUACACCUGCGAGUGUUCCUAUGAAAGAGGAACACAUGUUAUCCAUCUUAAUAUUACUGUGGAAGGUACGUUUAUUUGCUAACAAUACACCUGUGUAAUCUUUUCUGAUGAUAUCUCUGCAAGAUCUUGUGGAAUUUCGAAUGGAGUAAAAGUCAGUUUCUCACAAGGGCUGAGUACGGAUCGUCCUGACUUUCUGUGUGACAAUGUUUAGCAGAUGAGAAGGAGAGCACUUUUUCUGGCCUGAAGCUCAUUGCUACACUCGUCAUUGCUGUCUUUGCGAUGUUCAUCAUCAUAGCUGGGAUACUCUGUGAACACAUGCUGAGAGGAAAUCAUCACAGAGAAAACACCAGGAGACCAGGAGCGUCUGAAUUAACCAGAUCUGAAACUGCUUGGCCUUUGGACCGAGAUGAUCCCUACGUAAGCCUUCAGCGGCCAGCCAGUGAUGUCUACCAAACUGUCUCCUCAGGUUACCUUUACUGUGAUACUGACGCUGACCCAACCAACACUUAUGCAACGAUUGCCUGCUUUAAUAACCAGGAUGGAAAAGAGACAAAUUUAGACCCAAUCUACAGAGUCUAUGAAACUAUCUAAAACUAAGCUGGAUAGCAUAGCAACGAUACCACUGUAGUUUAAAUUACCAGAUGGUUAGUUCUGAUCAUGUUUUGUACAAUACUGCCAAAAAUGCAUAAAAUACACAUCCAUUGAUUGAACAUUUAACCUCUAAAACGCUUGUAAGAUUUGCUCUGUUGAUAAAGAAUUACCAUAAGGUAAAAUGUAAAAUUGUUUUGAUUGCGUCUUCCUUUGAACGUAUGGAAUCUAAUGCAUUCAAUAAGUGUAAAACCUUAGUUUAAACAUGGGGGGACGUCAGUGAGGCAUGUUACAUGAUCUACUACUUGUGACUGUAGACCUGAUGAGCAGAGUGUGACGUACCACAGAGAGUGGGGCAUUUCCCAGUACACAAGGUGUAAACAUCAAGCAUUGCAUCUUUAUUUCUUGUACAUACAUAAGAUGAUGUGUUGUAGCCUCCUACACAGGAAGCUGUAUCAUUGUUAACAUUGGUUUUAUGCUGUCAGCAAUACUAUACAUAUUUCCUCUACAUUCUUCAAAGGAAACUGGCCAGCAUAAGGUGUUGAGCAGGGUGGAACGUGUCUGAAUGGACUCUCUUGAAAUCGUCCGAGCGAUGCUGUGUUCAUGUAAUACUAGAAUUAUUGUGAUCGUGAGAUCCUAAUCUAUAAAUAGUGUCCAUGUCAAAACAUUGGAGCUGUAAUUAUGACUGGGAAUAGCUGAUCAAGCAGACUGGACGCCUCGCAUCAGACAGAGAGAACCUCACACUAGCUCAAGCCUCAGCAAGAGCUGAGAAUUUGAGGUUUAGGUUGCUGUAGAAUGGUGCAGAGAGGUGUGUCUGUCCUCACUCCUACAGUAAACCAUACUGUACACUGCCAGCAACAGUUGCACUGUUGCAUAAAUGUCCUGACCAGAAUGGGGAGAUGGAGACUCUGCUGUGUUCUGCUUCUGCCACUAAUUUUUUACAUGGACUGCCAAGGAUUAAUUCUAGAGACUCAGCAGCACCUUGUGAAAACCAUUGGGAAAGAACCAGAUGUCACUCCAAUAUGCACCAAUGAUACACAACAUGUCGUCAUAAUGAUAGUGUGUUGGAUCAGAACAGAGAGAAACUGGGGAGAAGAGUGUCGUCUGCUGUAUAAACAUGGACAGGACUUUGAGUAUGGAUGUGACUCCAGGUUCCGACUCAUGACAGAGAAUCAGACUGUGUUCCUCCACCUGACCAGUUUAACAGCAGAGGACAGUGGGAACUACACCUGUGAGUGUGCACAUCUUGGUGGAACAUUUAUUCUCCAUCUCAACGUCACUGUGGAAGGGAAAGUGGAUGAAAACAGCAGCAGUUCUACAGAAAUACCUUUCUCCUAUGUUGUGCUUGGUGUAAUUAUAUUCAUCAUUCUAACUGGAGUUAUUCUGGGAUUCAUCUACAGAAAACAUCUCCACGGACAACAAUCAGAACCCAUAACCAGUGAUCCAGACAUGGAACCAGAAGACAUAGAGCCGUACAGCACCUUCAUUCAGAGGGAGAACGGGCUUUAUUCAGUUGCCAGAAUACACAAUGUUAAAACUAAUGCUAAUAAUUCAAAUGUGUUUGCCAGAGAUGACACAAAUUUAGGGAUGCCUCUGUAGAGUUUUCACAUAACAAUAUUUACUAUGCAUGUUGAAUAUUAAAUACCAAGUGAAACAGGGCCUGCUGUCUGUGAGCUAACUAUGUUACUUUGCCAAUUAUUUCACUCUCUCAUUUUAUGUCCUUUUAAAACAUUAAAUUUUCUUUGUGAAUUUUGUUUUAAAAGCUCUGGGAACAUACUGUCUAAACAUAUGAUGAUAGAUUAUAUAAUAAGUUUUCAGUUUUUACCUUCAAAGCUGAAAUAAUUAAAUAUUUUAAUAUAUGUUUAAAACAAAUAUCUUGUGUAUUUUCAUGAGACACAUUGAGGAUUUCACUCUAAACCACUCUGUGAAUUAAAAUAAUGUGCAGUAUCUCUCCAGUGAUCUUCAGCAUGCUGUAUAAUUAGUGAUGUACGCAGAUGUAGUUUGGUGUUUUAGGUAUUUUUAACAUCAGACGCUGUGUCUCAGGCAGAAGUUGUAGUUAAUCAGGUGUCAGAUUGACCCGACAUCUAUCUCAGCUCCCUGCACAAACAUCCUGUCCUUACCCACAUAUACCUUGAGGCUUUCUCUGCUGCCUCCAUGACGUUGCAGAUGCCUUCUUGCCUCCCUCGCACUUCAGUGGUCUCCAGCAUGCAGAUGGCUUUGAAGAGAUGCAGCGAAGGUGUAGAAGAGCUGCUGCACUAAUUCUAAAAUUAACCUUAUAUCUUUUUGAAUCUGUAAAUGUAUUCUGUAUGUAUUAAGGCCUUUUAAUAUUUGCUUGCUUUUCAUCAUUAUUAAGAUAACACAUUCAUCAAUAAAGAAUAAAAUAAGGUUGCU
This is a long non-coding RNA of Lates calcarifer (barramundi perch), 5341 nucleotides long. RefSeq lists it as uncharacterized. NCBI's taxonomy places the organism in Eukaryota, Metazoa, Chordata, Actinopteri, Centropomidae. The record is from RefSeq and is a predicted model, not a curated record. The transcript has 13 exons.